AAGCUAACUCAACCAUUACAGAA
RNAcentral lists this small nuclear RNA (23 nucleotides) under Arabidopsis thaliana (thale cress). RNAcentral's name for it is "snRNA_07638". The record is from RNAcentral. Lineage: Eukaryota; Viridiplantae; Streptophyta; Magnoliopsida; Brassicales; Brassicaceae.